GCGGCGAUGAUAUCAAUUUCCAGCCCCUGCUGCUCCGCCUUCUUCCGCGGCGAUCCGCCGCCGGCAUUAUCCGCUCGCGGCGGUCUCUUCAUCCGUCCCCCGCCGGCACGGCGGGCGGCGGCGGCGGCGACGCUCCGCGUCUCCGCCGCGUCUAAGAUCACGUCGGCGGAGACGGAGCCGGUGAAGAGGCCAGCUAGGGGCAUCACCAAGCCGAAGCCUAUCUCGCCGGCGCUGCAGGCUCUGCUGGGGGUUAAGGAGAUCCCGCGCACUCAGGCGCUGAAGCAGAUCUGGGCCUACAUCAAGGAGAAGAACCUCCAGGACCCAGAGAACAAAAAGGUCAUAGUAUGCGAUGAGAAGCUGAAAGUCAUAUUUGGAGGGAAAGAACGGGUUGGGUUUCUUGAGAUUUCGGGGCUGCUUAAUCCUCACUUUUCAAAAUGAGAUUGGGAGAAUGUUCUGUAAAGGUUGCUUUUUGGUAGGUGGGAGGUUUAGGCUUAUCGCUAAAUAGUAGGCAAUUAAGACGGCUAUAUUUCGUCGUUG
Molecule: unclassified non-coding RNA, 537 nt
Filed under: Hevea brasiliensis (rubber tree)
Lineage: Eukaryota; Viridiplantae; Streptophyta; Magnoliopsida; Malpighiales; Euphorbiaceae
Source: RNAcentral